Molecule: ribosomal RNA, 548 nt
Filed under: Stemphylium vesicarium
Lineage: Eukaryota; Fungi; Ascomycota; Dothideomycetes; Pleosporales; Pleosporaceae
Description: eukaryotic LSU rRNA
Rfam family: 5.8S ribosomal RNA (bases 172-325)
Source: RNAcentral
AUGUGCAAGCGGGUUGGGACCUCACCUCGGUGAGGGCUCCAGCUUGUCUGAAUUAUUCACCCAUGUCUUUUGCGCACUUCUUGUUUCCUGGGCGGGUUCGCCCGCCACCAGGACCAAACCAUAAACCUUUUUGUAAUUGCAAUCAGCGUCAGUAAACAAUGUAAUUAUUACAACUUUCAACAACGGAUCUCUUGGUUCUGGCAUCGAUGAAGAACGCAGCGAAAUGCGAUACGUAGUGUGAAUUGCAGAAUUCAGUGAAUCAUCGAAUCUUUGAACGCACAUUGCGCCCUUUGGUAUUCCAAAGGGCAUGCCUGUUCGAGCGUCAUUUGUACCCUCAAGCUUUGCUUGGUGUUGGGCGUCUUUGUCUCUCACGAGACUCGCCUUAAAAUGAUUGGCAGCCGACCUACUGGUUUCGGAGCGCAGCACAAUUCUUGCACUUUGAAUCAGCCUUGGUUGAGCAUCCAUCAAGACCACAUUUUUUUCAACUUUUGACCUCGGAUCAGGUAGGGAUACCCGCUGAACUUAAGCAUAUCAAAAGCCGGAGGAAA